RNAcentral lists this long non-coding RNA (487 nucleotides) under Mytilus galloprovincialis (Mediterranean mussel). The record is from RNAcentral. Lineage: Eukaryota; Metazoa; Mollusca; Bivalvia; Mytilida; Mytilidae.
UUAGACGAAAGCAAACCGGUACAUUAUAUUCUGCAUUUGUAUAGUCCGAAGUUUCCUAAUUGAUAUUCUUGUUUCACAUGUAAAAUGAAUGAACAAUUAUAAAAAACGGCAUUCAUUUUGAAAUAUAGUACUGUUUUCUAGAGUGAAAAUGAAGUCACAUAUGCGAGGGUAUAAACGGGACGAACUGAUUAAAAAUAACGGGACCAACAUUUAUAUAUAAAACGGAAGAAUAGGUGCUGAAAUAUAAAUAAAAGUAAAAUUUAAUAUAGAUAACAUGGAGAUUUGGUCUAUACCUAUUCUUAUAACCACUCUUAAAUUUUGUUAGAUUUUGUACACAGGCUGUAUAUCACGGACAGUUUUAUAUUGGUAUGGUAUAUUUUAUAAGUUUUAAAUGAGCACACCUGGUUCACUCGCAAUCACGCACGUGAUUCAUUGACCUUGUUCAAUGUGUAUUAAAUUAAACAAGCCUGUCAGGAAGUCGACCGUU